AGCAACCGGCUGCUCCAGGGCCUGCGGGCCAACGGGGCCUCUCUGGAGGUGACCUUGGCCUUCAACCUGAUCCGCUUCUCGACCAGCGAUACACUGUACCUGCACGGCCGAGUGACCCUGUGUGACACGCGGGCAAGACGCCCAUGCCAACCACUUGUAGUCAGAAGAACUCGCCUGGGAGGGAUCGCUCCUGGGAGAUCCGAACGCGGGAGGGCCUGGAGCGCGGCGGCAGCUGGAUAGCAUUCGGGCCCAUCCGAAUAAGCGGAGCCUGGAUGGCCAUCUUUCUUCUGAUAGCAAUAAGCUGGAUGCUGGGAUAGAAGCCUGAUACCUCCUCCAACCCUAGUCCUUGGCCUCUAGUUUACUCGCCUGAGGCAAGGGUAGAGUGGAGGAAGAUUUAGGGAAAGCAAGUAGUCCGUUUUAUUGUUACGGACCAGAGAGGUUGGGGGUGCAGAUGAAACCAACAUCUGGUUGGCCGGGCACGGUGGCUCACACCUGUAAUCCCAGCACUUUGGGAGGCCGAGGCGGGCGGAUCAUGAAGUCAGGAGAUCGAGACCAUCCUAGCUAACACGGUGAAACCCCGUCUCUACUAAAAACACAAAAAAUUUGCCGGGCGUGGUGGCGGGAGCCUGUAGUCUCAGUUACUCAGGAGGCUGAGACAGGAGAAUGGCAUGAACCCGGGAGGCAGAGGUUGCAGUGAGCCGAGAUCGCGCCACUGCACUCCAGCCUGGGUGACAGAGCGAGACUCCAUCUCAAAAAAAAUAAAUAAAUAAAAAUAAAAAAAAUAAAAAAUAAAAAAUUCAUUUGCAGGAA
Long non-coding RNA from Homo sapiens (human), 810 nucleotides. Ensembl annotates it as zona pellucida like domain containing 2, pseudogene. Its record names the gene ZPLD2P. The record is from Ensembl. NCBI's taxonomy places the organism in Eukaryota, Metazoa, Chordata, Mammalia, Primates, Hominidae.